RNAcentral lists this ribosomal RNA (392 nucleotides) under uncultured Gammaproteobacteria bacterium. RNAcentral describes it as "bacterial SSU rRNA". It matches the Rfam family "Bacterial small subunit ribosomal RNA", at positions 370 to 779 of the family's 1533-position model. The record is from RNAcentral. Lineage: Bacteria; Pseudomonadati; Pseudomonadota; Gammaproteobacteria.
AAUGGGCGCAAGCCUGAUCCAGCCAUGCCGCGUGUGUGAUGAAGGCCCUAGGGUUGUAAAGCACUUUCAACGGUGAAGAUAAUGACGGUAACCGUAGAAGAAGCCCCGGCUAACUUCGUGCCAGCAGCCGCGGUAAUACGAAGGGGGCUAGCGUUGUUCGGAAUUACUGGGCGUAAAGCGCACGUAGGCGGAUCGUUAAGUGAGGGGUGAAAUCCCAGGGCUCAACCCUGGAACUGCCUUUCAUACUGGCGAUCUUGAGUUCGAGAGAGGUGAGUGGAAUUCCGAGUGUAGAGGUGAAAUUCGUAGAUAUUCGGAGGAACACCAGUGGCGAAGGCGGCUCACUGGCUCGAUACUGACGCUGAGGUGCGAAAGCGUGGGGAGCAAACAGGAUU